GCCCCGAUGGUGAAGUGGUUAUCACGUUCGCCUCACACGCGAAAGGUCCUGGGUUCAAUUCCCAGUCGGGGUA
Molecule: non-coding RNA, 73 nt
Organism: Octopus sinensis (East Asian common octopus)
Lineage: Eukaryota; Metazoa; Mollusca; Cephalopoda; Octopoda; Octopodidae
Source: the annotation of a RefSeq genome assembly